UUAUGUUCUGUUUUCAUUUUAUUUCUUUUUCAAUUUUUUUUUAUUGAGAAAUCCACUUCUAUCCUAAAGAAAACAAAUCUACUUUUUUUUUGUGCCGUCAUAUCAUCAUUAAUGCAUUGGAUUCCACGAGAACAAAUCCAUCCUAGUUUUUUUUCUUACGCUCCUAGUUUUUUACUCUCUUCAUUCCCGAAAGUAGGAUUUUUUAUAUUUAUUUUUUUGUUCCAAAAUGAUAGAUUUUUAAAAAAG
This 246-nucleotide long non-coding RNA is filed under the name Brassica rapa (field mustard). Its description in RNAcentral is "long non-coding RNA (BRAP_LNC006033)". Lineage: Eukaryota; Viridiplantae; Streptophyta; Magnoliopsida; Brassicales; Brassicaceae. The record is from RNAcentral.